UUUCCGGAGGUGAACCUGCGGAAGGAUCAUUAUUGUAUAACCGAGGUGCGAGGGCUGUCGCUGACCCGAAAGGUCGUGCACGCCCGAGUGCCCUCACACACAUCCAUCUCACCCCUAUGUGCACCACCGCGUGGGUCCCCCUUUGGCUUGUUCGGAGGGGGGCUUACGUUUUCACACAGACUUUGUAUGCAGUGUAGAAUGUAUUUUUUGUUUUUGCGAUCACGCAAUCAAUACAACUUUCAACAACGGAUCUCUUGGCUCUC
RNAcentral lists this unclassified non-coding RNA (263 nucleotides) under plant metagenome. Its description in RNAcentral is "partial contains small subunit ribosomal RNA, internal transcribed spacer 1, and 5.8S ribosomal RNA". The record is from RNAcentral.